UAUAGCUCAGCUGGUAGAGUGCUUGCCUUAUACAUACAAGGCCCUGGGUUCAAUUCCCAGUA
Molecule: transfer RNA, 62 nt
Filed under: Ictidomys tridecemlineatus (thirteen-lined ground squirrel)
Lineage: Eukaryota; Metazoa; Chordata; Mammalia; Rodentia; Sciuridae
Description: Spermophilus tridecemlineatus (thirteen-lined ground squirrel) tRNA
Rfam family: tRNA
About the family: Transfer RNA (tRNA) molecules are approximately 80 nucleotides in length.
Source: Rfam by way of RNAcentral